GAGUUUGAUCGUGGCUCAGGAUGAACGCUAGCUACAGGCUUAACACAUGCAAGUCGAGGGGAAACGAUAGAGAAAGCUUGCUUUUUCUAGGCGUCGACCGGCGCACGGGUGAGUAACGCGUAUCCAACCUGCCCACCACUUGGGGAUAACCUUGCGAAAGUAAGACUAAUACCCAAUGACGUCUCUAGAAGACAUCUGAAAGGGAUUAAAGAUUUAUCGGUGAUGGAUGGGGAUGCGUCUGAUUAGCUUGUUGGC
RNAcentral lists this ribosomal RNA (255 nucleotides) under uncultured bacterium. RNAcentral's name for it is "partial 16S ribosomal RNA". It matches the Rfam family "Bacterial small subunit ribosomal RNA", at positions 9 to 253 of the family's 1533-position model. The record is from RNAcentral.